Molecule: ribosomal RNA, 482 nt
Filed under: uncultured bacterium
Lineage: Bacteria
Description: partial 16S ribosomal RNA
Rfam family: Bacterial small subunit ribosomal RNA
Source: RNAcentral
ACGAACGCUGGCGGCGUGCUUAACACAUGCAAGUCGAACGCUGAAGCUCAGCUUUUGUUGGGUGGAUGAGUGGCGAACGGGUGAGUAACACGUGAGUAACCUGCCCCCUUCUUUGGGAUAACGCCCGGAAACGGGUGCUAAUACUGGAUAUUCACUGGUCUUCGCAUGGGGGUUGGUGGAAAGGGUUUUUCUGGUGGGGGAUGGGCUCGCGGCCUAUCAGCUUGUUGGUGGGGUGAUGGCCUACCAAGGCUUUGACGGGUAGCCGGCCUGAGAGGGUGACCGGUCACAUUGGGACUGAGAUACGGCCCAGACUCCGACGGGAGGCAGCAGUGGGGAAUAUUGCACAAUGGGCGCAAGCCUGAUGCAGCGACGCCGCGUGAGGGAUGGAGGCCUUCGGGUUGUGAACCUCUUUCGCUCAUGGUCAAGCCGCAACAAUGGUUGUGGUGAGGGUAGUGGGUAAAGAAGCGCCGGCUAACUACGUG